AUUGAACGCUGGCGGCAUGCUUUACACAUGCAAGUCGAACGGCAGCACGGGUGCUUGCACCUGGUGGCGAGUGGCGGACGGGUGAGUAAUACAUCGGAACGUGUCCAGAAGAGGGGGAUAACGCAUCGAAAGAUGUGCUAAUACCGCAUAUGCUCUGAGGAGGUAAGUAGGGGAUCGAAAGACCUUACGCUUUUGGAGCGGCCGAUGUCUGAUUAGCUAGUUGGUGGGGUAAGGGCCUACCAAGGCGACGAUCAGUAGUUGGUCUGAGAGGACGACCAGCCACACUGGGACUGAGACACGGCCCAGACUCCUACGGGAGGCAGCAGUGGGGAAUUUUGGACAAUGGGCGCAAGCCUGAUCCAGCAAUGCCGCGUGAGUGAAGAAGGCCUCGGUUGUAAGUACGUACUUUCUAGUCGAGAAGAAAAGGACGUAGCAGUGAAGUAACUAGUAGUUUA
This 455-nucleotide ribosomal RNA is filed under the name uncultured bacterium. RNAcentral describes it as "bacterial SSU rRNA". It matches the Rfam family "Bacterial small subunit ribosomal RNA", at positions 30 to 489 of the family's 1533-position model. The record is from RNAcentral.